This 255-nucleotide ribosomal RNA is filed under the name uncultured prokaryote. RNAcentral describes it as "partial 16S ribosomal RNA". It matches the Rfam family "Bacterial small subunit ribosomal RNA", at positions 523 to 777 of the family's 1533-position model. The record is from RNAcentral.
AUACGGAGGGUGCAAACGUUGCUCGGAAUCAUUGGGCGUAAAGCGCACGUAGGCGGUCCAGCAAGUCGGGUGUGAAAGCCCUCGGCUUAACCGAGGAAGUGCAUUCGAAACUACUGGACUUGAAUACUGGAGAGGAUCGCGGAAUUCCCGGUGUAGAGGUGAAAUUCGUAGAUAUCGGGAGGAACACCAGUGGCGAAGGCGGCGAUCUGGACAGAUAUUGACGCUGAGGUGCGAAAGCGUGGGGAGCAAACAGGA